UACGUAGGUGGCAAGCGUUGUCCGGAUUUACUGGGCGUAAAGAGCGCGCAGGCGGCCAAGUCAGUCGAAUGUGAAAGCCCCCGGCUUAACUGGGGAGGGUCAUUCGAUACUGCUCGGCUCGAAGACAGGAGAGGGAAGCGGAAUCCCGGUGUAGUGGUGAAAUGCGUAGAGUAUCGGGAGGAACACCAGUGGCGAAGGCGACUACCUGGCCUGUUCUUGACGCUGAGGCGCGAAAAGCUAGGGGAGCAAACGGG
Molecule: ribosomal RNA, 254 nt
Filed under: uncultured bacterium
Lineage: Bacteria
Description: partial 16S ribosomal RNA
Rfam family: Bacterial small subunit ribosomal RNA
Source: RNAcentral